This 815-nucleotide long non-coding RNA is filed under the name Marmota monax (woodchuck). The record is from RNAcentral. Lineage: Eukaryota; Metazoa; Chordata; Mammalia; Rodentia; Sciuridae.
GAGACAGGAAUACAGGCGACCCCUAGCACAGAGCCUGGCACCCAGCAGAUGCCAUAAUUGCCAGGUGACCUUGCACUUGGAAAUGUGGUCCUGUAUUCGUUAGCUUUCCGAUACUGUAACAAAUACCUAAUGUAAUCAUCUUAUAAAGAGAAAAGGUUGGUUUGGCCUCACAGUUUGCAGAUUCCAGUCCAUGAUGGGUGGGUUCUGUUGCUUUUGAGGCCUGUGGCAAGACAGUACUUCCUGCUGGGAACACAUGGCAAAGCCUCUCACCAUAAUCGCUGCCAAGGGCCCCCCCAAGGACCAGAGGACCCUCCCCCACACUUGGUGCCCGCCUCUUGGAGUUUCCCCGCCCCCAGUAGCAUCUGGCUGGGAAUGGAGGCCUGACCCGCGGGCCUUCCUGGAGACCCGUGCAUCUUGAUAUUGAGCCAAUCUAGAGCAGGUCCUUUAGAAAACCUGCCCGGGCUGUUUCUCCAGUUGAUCCCUCUGCGGCUCCUUCCCACCCCGGGGCAGGCUCUAGAGUGACCCCCUGGGAACACAGAACGCCAGCCCCCCAUCAAGCCCCCCUGCACCCCGUCACCUCUCACCAGCUCUGACCUGCGUUUGCCCCCAGCUUCUGGAGAUGCGAUCCUCGAAGUCUCCCCAGCUGCACAGCCACCUGGAGACAGAGACUGGCCAGGCCUCACGGGGCCCCGGGUCCGGAGCCGCCCACACAGCCACCCCCGAGAGGCGAGAAGGACCCAGGGAGGCAGUUCCCGCUGGGGGCUCGGGGCGCCCGUGUGCUUGGUCUGUACAAAAUAAAGUCGUCUUCCUUGGUA